UAGACAUAAAUAAAAACAUACAAGCUUCAUAAUACAAAGCCAGGGGCCUCGAGGGCUAGAAUACAGAAGCUCGAUAAACACAUGAGUCAGCGGAAGCAACAAAUAUCUGAGUACAGACAUAAAACAAGGAUACUGCCUUAGAGAAGGCUAGCACAAAAGAUACAGCGAUCGAAUGAGGCGAGGCCUCCUGGUUGGGAACCUCCUAACUACUCCUGGUCAUUAGUGGCCUCCACGUAGUAGUAUGCACCGUCAGCGGGAUACGCCAUCUCCUGGGCUCCAUCAUUUGGUCGCAGCAAUCGUAUCAAGGGGAAAAGGGGGAGCAAAUCAACGGUGAGUACUCAUCCAAAGUACUCGCAAGACUGACAUCAGAACUAUACUAAGUAUGCAUCAGGUAUUAGAGCAAAGGGGGGUUAUAUGUGGACUGACUACAACAAUGCGAGAAUAGAGAGAGGGGACUAGUCCUUCCGGAGACUAGCAUCUUCAGCGUCUUGCAGCAUUAGACGAGAGUACAGCAAUAAGACUAAUAUAAUUUCAUAUUGUUGCAGCAAUAUUAAUUAAGGUCAAGCCCAGAUAAUCUCCCUUGACUCAUUGCGAGUAAGCAAUCUCGGAGCAAAUAUUCGAGUUAAGUAACAGUUGUAGUUGUAUAAGAUCGGGGCACAACUCACAAUCGUCCUGUAACCGUGGACACGGCUAUCCAAAUAGUUAAUUUUCAUCCAUGUAGGGGUGCACCAUAGUACCCAACAUGCUUGAUAAACUCUGGCCGCACACACUUCCCUCAGUCAUGCCCGGCCUCGGAACAUCAACACGUCGCAGCCCUACCUAAGCUCAUCAGAGAGGCCAGCCCGCCGGUCUAAAUCCUAAGCGCGAAGGGGUCAUGGGCCCAUCACCCUUUGCGCUCCUGCAUGAUGCGAGGGCGGUCGCUGUCAGUCCUAGCACCUCUUAUACAAGAACAAUGCUUAUCCAGGCUACUCGGGCGCACGCCGCUCCAUUGCUAGCGCCUGAAGAACUUCGGCUAAUACCACGACGUCGAGUACCCAUAACUUCUCCCACGUGAAGGUUAGUGCGAAAGGGUCUCCCGACCAACUCAGAUCAAAUACCCAAAUCCAUUAGCAUUUUAAUUAAUUCUCGAGGAAGUGUGGCAAGGACUAUAAUGCCGAGCCACGCCUCAUCACACUCACGUGGGAAUCCACCCGCAACACACCUUUCAUGUUCCCAGUAGCACGGUCAAGUAACUAUGUGGUUGUAACAUCAGAGGGAUCUGAGGUAUCACCCUCGAUGGAUUCCGAAAGAUGUAACCUUUAAGGUGACCAGCGGAGAAUCACCCUCGAUGGACCACACUUGAUGGGUUGUACGACAGAGUCGUUAUCGGAGGUGGUGAAGGAGGAAUCACCCUCCGGGAACCACCGCCGGUCAACUACACUACAGAGCUAAUAUCAGGAGUACGUAUCGAGGUGUCAUCCUCGGUACUCGAUAGUAGCUCUGUAGUGUCGUACAACUAAGGGGGUGUGAGUGAUGUGACGGGUCUUGGCUCGUCGAACAGAUGAUCGAGACUUCGAUGAUAAAACGGGGCAACUGGACUAAGGGGGGUAAAUGGGUAUCACUCCUCCACCUAUACUAAACAGUUUAAAGUGCGGUAGAGAAAGUAGAAGUUCAUCAAAAACAGGCUAUGAAUCAGAUAUAGGAGCUAACUACAAUAGUAGCAAAAUCUAAUGCAAGCAUGAGGGGGAAAGAAAUAGGCGAUAUAGGAAUGAUCAAGGGGGUUUGCUUGCCUUGUUGCUCUGAGGCAAAGGGCUGGUCGUCAGGAGGGUAGUCGUACCCGGCAGCAGCGUCAGUCUCGGAGUCUACCAGGGAGAAGAGGGGGAAGAAACAAUAAACAUAACGCACAGAUGCAACAUGAUGCAUGACAUGGCAAUAUGCACGGCUAGGCAUGAGCUAGCGCAGUAACACCCGUCAUGGACGGAUUGGGAAAAUAUCUGACGAUAUUUUCUGGGUCUCUGGCUACUACCGGACAGGCAAAAUGGAUGAAAAAGUUUCAUGUUCGCUAUGAUAGAGACGUAUGACACACGGAUUGAUAGCGUAUCCGGGUUCGUCUUGUUUUUCUAAUCAACUUUCAUGUGCAAAAUAUUUUCAUACGGAUUACGGAUUAUUUUUUAUUAUUUUUUAAUUUUUUAUUAAUUAUUUAGGAACUAAAUAGAUUUAAUUAAAUUCAAUAAUUAGUUAUGACACCAGCAUGAUGUCAUGCUGACAUCAACAGUCAACAGUCCUGUUGAGUGGUCAAACUGACAUGUGGGUCCCACAUGUCAUACUCACAUGUUAAUUUAGUUUAAUUGGAAAUUAAUCAGACUAAUUUAGGGGGUGGAACCCACCUGUCAUUCUCUAAUUAACUAAACUAAUCAAAGGUUUUAUUAAAUAAAAUUAAUUAGUAUUAAUUGGAGGUUGUCCCACAUGUCAUUGGUAUUUAAAUUAACAACAGAUUAGUUAAACUAAUUAAUAUUAAUCAUACCUAAUUACCUAAUUAAUAUAAUUAUUAAAUUUAUUUUUAUUACAUUUUUUAUUCACACUUUUUUUUGUUUUUUGGGGGUGUAGGCCCCUGUGUCAUACAGUGGGAAGGGUUAGUGAGGGGCCUAAUCCCCACUAACCAGAUCGGCCCAGGCAAGGGCCUGGCUGUGCCUGAGGCCACCGAUGGGGGGAGGCGGCCGUGGGGAGGCGCCGGCGACGGGUGGCGCAUGUGGGUGCGGGCGCAUUCGGCUGUGGGCGGUGGGAGGGUCCGCACAUCGUCGGGGGAGGGACAGGGCCGACAGGGAGGUGCGCGGUAGUGGCGGAGUGGCGAAAGGCCGACGCAGGUGCGGGGCGAGCGGGAGCUGCGACGGCGUGGUGCAUGGUUGCCAGUGAGGGGAGACGGGGGUGUUGGAGCUGCGGGGCCAACGGUGGCCGUAGGUGAGGCGAAGCUCGCCGAAGGAAGAGUGGGGAAGGAGAGGGGGGUUGGAGCUUGACGGCCUCACCGACAUUGGAGGGAAGGAGGGUCGUCGAGGCGUGAGGAAGCCGUCGAGGGGGAGGACGGGGACGCGAUGGGUCAGAGGAGAGGCGGCCGGCGGCGACGAGGCGACCGGAGGGGGCCGUCGGCUCGCCGGAGCGGCUCGCGCGGGGCAGUCGUCGCCACAGGGGGUCUCGGUGGGGAGGGGAGGAAGUAAGUGGGGUGGGC
RNAcentral lists this long non-coding RNA (3202 nucleotides) under Hordeum vulgare. RNAcentral describes it as "long non-coding RNA (HVUL_LNC009139)". Lineage: Eukaryota; Viridiplantae; Streptophyta; Magnoliopsida; Poales; Poaceae. The record is from RNAcentral.